Long non-coding RNA from Manduca sexta (tobacco hornworm), 1359 nucleotides. RefSeq lists it as uncharacterized. The record is from RefSeq and is a predicted model, not a curated record. The transcript has 2 exons. Lineage: Eukaryota; Metazoa; Arthropoda; Insecta; Lepidoptera; Sphingidae.
UCCAUUUUCGCUUGACUCUGAUAUUUGAAAAAAAAAGUGGUCUUGAAUGACUCGCCGGUCCUUCCCCGGCAUUUUGUCGUCAAAUUGUGAACGAUUGAACGCUGUGGAAGUGUGGUUGUGUUUUUUCGUAAUAUUAAAGGUGUAAUCGUAAGAUAUUGUGGGGCGGUACGUGUUUUUUCUUUGGUACACCUUGGCUUGGGCGGUGACCUAAUUAACAAAAUGACAUCAGACCUAUCAACCCAGUCUCAAGAGACAAAUCCGAUCUUAGCCCACGACCUACACAAGGUGCUACUCAAGAUAUUUCUGGCUAAAGGCAGUCAGCUGAGUGGAGCGUUGACGUCACAAGAAAUCAAUAAAUUAUUACGGGAAUACGCGUAUAGAGGCGGUGAUAUUAAGUACGAGAAACGUCCUUCCAACCACUAGCAAUAAGUUGGAGAAAAUUAGUCCUUAUAUGUAGAGAAUUAAAUACUAUUUAACAGAACUCUAUUCUAGUCUUAAUCCAAAGAUGAGUUCUUUUUUAAGAUUUUUUUAAAUAGUCUUGUGAUUAAUAUUUAUGAUACUUUUCAAGAUGGCGGAUACAUUUAGUAUAUUAAGUAAUAAAAUGAUCUUUGUCAUACUAGACAAUCGUCGUAGAGUCGCUCAUAUUAUGAUAGGGCAAUUGUUCAAUUCCCAAUACCUUUUCAAUUAAUAUCAUUAUUAUUCGUCACUGAAAACGGAGUAUUUAAUUAUUAUCUUCAUUUAUUCAGUAUUACAUAUAUACAGUCUAAUAUAGCCAAUGUUGAUUAUCGUCUGUUCUAUCAGAUUUUCGAAAUAGCAAGAGUUUCAAGAUUGCUAUUAAAACCUACCUAGGUCUAGGCAUCUUUUAUUCCUGCCAGACUUUUUUUGUUCGAAAUAAUAUAAGCACUAAUAUGUAAUUUAAUAUAUUUUUGUAACUUACAUAUAAUUUAAGAAAUUUUAUUUAAGUAUAAUCAAAGAAUAGAGAGUAUUAGUAAAUUUUGCAUGUCGUAUUAAAAUAUAUUAAAACCAAUAUAAUUAGAUAAUUAAUAACUUAGGUGUUCAAGUCAACGCAUAAUAGGUAAAACUAUUUUCAUUGUCAGAACUUCCUUUCAACUUUAGUAUAAAACAAAAUGUUAAUUGUAAUUAGUGUAAUGAGUUCGCUUGCUAUGAAGGGAUUAUGUGCGCAAUAUUUUUAUUAUCUUACUUUUACUUUUAUAACCUGCAAUUAUAGUAUUUACACCUAGGGUUAAGUUUAGCAAAUGUAUUUAAUUUAAAUCUUAGGUUACUUGCACAACGACUCACUAAAUAUGAUUACUGGUAAAUAUGUUUUAACCAUGGUGCUGUCUUCCUCAACUCUUAAAA